RNAcentral lists this transfer RNA (75 nucleotides) under Nitrososphaerota archaeon. Its description in RNAcentral is "tRNA-Glu". It matches the Rfam family "tRNA". Rfam says of the family: Transfer RNA (tRNA) molecules are approximately 80 nucleotides in length. Their secondary structure includes four short double-helical elements and three loops (D, anti-codon, and T loops). Further hydrogen bonds mediate the characteristic L-shaped molecular structure. tRNAs have two regions of fundamental functional importance: the anti-codon, which is responsible for specific mRNA codon recognition, and the 3' end, to which the tRNAs corresponding amino acid is attached (by aminoacyl-tRNA synthetases). tRNAs cope with the degeneracy of the genetic code in two manners: having more than one tRNA (with a specific anti-codon) for a particular amino acid; and 'wobble' base-pairing, i.e. permitting non-standard base-pairing at the 3rd anti-codon position. Lineage: Archaea; Thermoproteati; Nitrososphaerota. The record is from RNAcentral.
GCUCCGGUAUUACAGCUCGGUCAAGUAUAUCGGCCUCUCGAGCCGAGGACCCGGGUUCAAAUCCCGGCCGGAGCA